CCGCUGAGUGGGGAGGAGAGAGGGACAGAGAGCCUGCUUCUUUAAAGGAGCAAAGCGGGAGAGGAGAGGAGCCGCUUACACGAGUGUAAGCGGCUCCUUUCCGGUUGGUUCCUUUAAAGCAAGCAGGCUCUCUGUCCCUCUCUCCUCCCCACUCAGCU
This is a non-coding RNA of Podarcis lilfordi (Lilford's wall lizard), 158 nucleotides long. NCBI's taxonomy places the organism in Eukaryota, Metazoa, Chordata, Lepidosauria, Squamata, Lacertidae. The record is from the annotation of a GenBank genome assembly.